This is a long non-coding RNA of Megachile rotundata (alfalfa leafcutting bee), 880 nucleotides long. NCBI's taxonomy places the organism in Eukaryota, Metazoa, Arthropoda, Insecta, Hymenoptera, Megachilidae. The record is from RefSeq and is a predicted model, not a curated record.
UCCGACGUUUCGCCAUGAAACUGUCAGUGGGUCCUGCCCGCGAAUAACAUAAUCUAAUAUUUGGAAUUUUAUAUUCUAAGCAACGAGCCUACCAACCAAGCUACCGAUCCAACCUACGCGUUAAGAUUGAAUCUGCAGCGUAAUUGCUGACCACGGUAAAACAGCCGAUUCACUCGGGGCGAUUCUCCGAGAGCGAGAGAAGUUAGGACGGUGGAAGCUCGCGACCAAAGAAACUGGAACGAGUUUAAUUUGCAUAUCUUCCGAAUGCACAAACAACUCGGUCAGGCGACACGUAACGAAAUUUUAUAUUUCAGCUGUAAUAGAGAGAAAGAGAGAGAAAACUUUUUCUUUAGCGAUGUUCUCGGCUUCGUCGAAAUUCCACCGCGACAAAAUAUUCGCAGGGCCACGGUCUUCACGCUUCGCGACUGCUUUACACUUUCAACCGAAUGAAAGAAACAAGCGAGGAAGAAUCGUGGGACGACCCGGGAGAGACCGGGGAAAGACGAAGAAAACGUGGUUACGAGGGUUGUUAUUAGCGGUACGCAAAGGUUUCCAUCGUUUUCAAGGCAAUUUUCUUUAUUAACAUUCUCGUGAUAUCCAAUUAUUUAUCAGAACGAUGAAAUAACUCGACUACUUUUUAUAGCGAUUUAAGCGCGCCUUCCAUACCUCCUUUCGCUUGAUGCAUAUUUCUCCGACGAAACGAACAUUUUUUCCGGUACAGAGUAGUCUUUCCUUCGCGACAAAUACACUGAACGCGCGAUAAACAGCGAAGAUGGUAAUUGAAACGGUUGCGCCAGAAACUCCUGCUGUCCAAUUAUCUCUAAGAAUUUUUUCUUCGCGAGAACAGAUUUUUAAUUCGUCGACGAAAGGGAUCGUUUAU